Molecule: ribosomal RNA, 433 nt
Filed under: uncultured bacterium
Lineage: Bacteria
Description: partial 16S ribosomal RNA
Rfam family: Bacterial small subunit ribosomal RNA
Source: RNAcentral
AACGAACGCUGGCGGCAUGCCUAACACAUGCCAGUCGAACGAGACCUUCGGGUCUAGUGGCGCACGGGUGCGUAACGCGUGGGAACCUGCCCUUAGGUUCGGAAUAACUCCCCGAAAGGGGUGCUAAUACCGGAUAAUGUCUUCGGACCAAAGAUUUAUCGCCUUUGGAUGGGCCCGCGUUGGAUUAGCUAGUUGGUAGGGUAAAAGCCUACCAAGGCGACGAUCCAUAGCUGGUCUGAGAGGAUGAUCAGCCACACUGGGACUGAGACACGGCCCAGACUCCUACGGGAGGCAGCAGUGGGGAAUAUUGGACAAUGGGCGAAAGCCUGAUCCAGCAAUGCCGCGUGAGUGAUGAAGGCCUUAGGGUUGUAAAGCUCUUUUAUCCGGGAUGAUAAUGACAGUACCGGGAGAAUAAGCUCCGGCUAACUCCGUG